AAGCCGUAUACAGUUGAAGUCAAAGAACCGCUCCAGCCCAUUUCUCCACGCCCAAGCGCAGAGAGAGAGAGAGAGAGAGAGAGAGAGAGCUGAGCAAUGGCGAAUCAAGGAGCGAAGAAAAGGAAGGAGGAGAACAAGAAGCACAUGGCCAAUCUCCUCCGCCUUAUCAUCGCCUGCAACGUACUUGAGCAUAUGCAACACACCCAAAAAUUCAUAGGUGUGCCACACUAGGCGUGUAACCGCUCCAUGCCUCUUGAGGUAUCUUGUUCUUCACUAUCUUUGUGUGGCAUCGGUUGAAAAAAUAAGCUGAGCAAGCCACGACUUUUGUCCAGAACUUCUUUGGCAAUCCCUUUUCUUUGAGCAUGGUUCUUGUCAUGUCGAAGAUGGUCCGGUUCUUUCUUUUGGUAAUGCCAUUUUGCUGUGGUGUGUAGGCAGUAGUAAACUGUCUUUUUAUACCUUGCUCCUUGUAAUAUUCUUGAAACAGAUUUGAGGUGUACUUACCACCUCGGUUAGAUCGAAGAAUUUUUAGCUUGUGGCUGC
Molecule: long non-coding RNA, 540 nt
Organism: Asparagus officinalis (garden asparagus)
Lineage: Eukaryota; Viridiplantae; Streptophyta; Magnoliopsida; Asparagales; Asparagaceae
Exons: 2
Source: RefSeq, a predicted model, not a curated record